GGCGGCCAAGGGCAGGAUGUCACUUCGUCCAGUUUCAGCUGGUUUUAUGGCGCAGUGGCCACAUCCCCUCCCAGCCUUGAUUCAUCUGGCCAGUUCCAGCCCUUCCUGCAGGUUCUGUGAACCGCUGGGGCUCUUCCCAGCCCACCGUACCCUCGGACUCUCGGGGUUGCUCCCUUCUGUGUGCUCCCUCCCGCCCCAGCAUUUAGGCCAAUAGCCUAAAGCCCAGGUUGGAGCAUUUGCAGAUCUCUGAAGAGUGAUACUCACUGAACAUUUCUCAAUGGAUCCGGCCUCCUGGAGCUCCGAGGGACCGGCUCCAGCACCUCCAGCUCCCCUAACCCCCAGGUGCUGAUCAGGCACACUUAGAGAGACCCUCGGGGUAAGUCACGUCGGUGCUGGGAGACGAGGACGAGAGGGACACGAUAUUCCAGUAACUCGGGUGUGCAGAUGCAAAGACCUAAUUCAAGACUGUGCUACCUGUGGGCUGCCUGACCUGGGGAGGGGGGCAAGGGUUCACCUUAAAAGCUCUCAGGCCCCCCUUGAUAAGGUGAACUCCUUGCCCAGGCCUUCCCACAAACCUCCCCCUCAGGUCUGCCCCCAAACAUGGAGAAAACCAAGAGGAAUCGAAAAUCGGACAUUCUCGCUCCCACUGAGCUAAUGAGAACCGGAGUCGAUGUGGGCACCUGGGGACUUGUAGGAGGAGAAGCUUGGCAAGGUGAGGUCCAGGUAUUCCUGUGGAGAAAAAGAAAAAAACGUCAACUUCCAUUUUUCAAAAGCAGCUUUCUCAGAAACGAGCCGAGGCUGGCGGAGCAGCGGUUGGGGCCUGGCGCCCGGAACACUCACGUUCAGGCCGGAGCAGGCCACGCCGCCUUCCUCUGCCUCAGUCUCCUCUAGUGUAAAACGGGUGCGCACAGCGGCUGCCCUCAGGGCACCGACACCAUCCCCUCCCCUGGUGCACUUUGGGCAAGGGAUGUUACCGAGGAGGACCCUGUCUCACCAGCGUCAUCUCACUCGCCAAAAAAGGACCAUCCUGUCCUCAGCCGUGUUUGAGGAGGAAAUAGUCAUUUUCUUAAAAACACAAAUAAAACACCCAG
This 1091-nucleotide long non-coding RNA is filed under the name Sarcophilus harrisii (Tasmanian devil). RNAcentral's name for it is "lncRNA (ENSSHAG00000020526.1)". The record is from RNAcentral. Lineage: Eukaryota; Metazoa; Chordata; Mammalia; Dasyuromorphia; Dasyuridae.